RNAcentral lists this transfer RNA (72 nucleotides) under Parcubacteria group bacterium. RNAcentral's name for it is "tRNA-Arg". It matches the Rfam family "tRNA". Rfam says of the family: Transfer RNA (tRNA) molecules are approximately 80 nucleotides in length. Their secondary structure includes four short double-helical elements and three loops (D, anti-codon, and T loops). The record is from RNAcentral.
GCCCCUGUAGCUCAAUGGAUAGAGUGUGGGUUUGCGGAGCCCGAGAUCGAGGUCCGAUUCCUCGCAGGGGCA